This 1518-nucleotide ribosomal RNA is filed under the name invertebrate metagenome. Its description in RNAcentral is "bacterial LSU rRNA". It matches the Rfam family "Bacterial large subunit ribosomal RNA", at positions 553 to 2123 of the family's 2925-position model. The record is from RNAcentral.
AAACCAUUUUGCUUACAAAUAGUCAGAGCUCAAUUUAUUGGGGGAUGGCGUGCCUAUUGAAGAAUGAACCAACGAGUUUAUGUAUUUUCUUUGUCUAAGUUCUUACGGAACGAAGGCUCAGCGAAAGCGAGUGUUAAUAGCGCGAAUUUAGAAUGGGAGCAAGACCCGAAGCCAAGCGAGCUUACCAUGACCAGGGUGAACUCCACCGAAAGGUAGAGGGAGGCCCGAACCCGUGAGCCGUGCAAUACUCUGGGAUGAGUUGUGGUAAGGAGUGAAAAGCUAAUCGAGCUUGGUAAUAGCUGGUUCUCCCCGAAAUAGCUUUAGGGCUAGCGUUUGUCGUAUUUUUCUGGAGGUAGAGCACUGAAUGGAACCUCUUGGGCUUUGCUCGGAUCUUCCAAUCAAACUCCGAAUGCCAGAAAAAAUUAACAAGCAGUCAGACUGUGGGGGCUAAGCUCCAUGGUCAAAAGGGAAACAGCCCAGAUCUUAAUCUAAGGCCCCUAAAUUCUAACUAAGUGUAUCAAAGGAAGUGAUGUUCCUCAGAUAGCUAGGAAGUUAGCUUAGAAGCAGCUAUCUUUCAAAAAGUGCGUAACAGCUUACUAGCUAAGGAACUUUGCGCCAAAAAUUCACGGGACUUUACUUAAAUGCCGAAGAUAAGGAGCUCCAAUUUAUUGGAGUUGGUAGGGGAGCGUUCCACCGGCACUGAAGCCAAUUUGUAAAGAUUGGUGGAGCGGGUGGAAGUGAGAAUGUUGGUAUGAGUAACCGCAAUGAGGGUGAAAGCCCCUCACACCGAAAACCCAAGGUUUCCUUGGCAAUGGUAAUCAGCCAAGGGUUAGGCGGGCCUAACCCGGUCACCGAAAGGUGAACGAGGGAUGGACAGCCGGUUAAUAUUCCGGCCCUCCUAUAUCUUUUUUUAAGAUGACGUAGUUUGCGAAGCAAGGUGUAUUAUUGGAUUUACAGUUGAGUGGAUUCUUCGGAUGAAGCGAAUUUGCAUGAUCAAGUUACCUAGAAAAGCUCUUAAAAGUUAGGGAUAUGGGAUCCGUACCGCAAACCGACACAGGUGGGUUGGUAUUAGUGUACUAAGGUGAACGAGUGAAAGUUCUUGAAGGAACUCGGCAAAACAGCAGGCGUAACUUCGGGAUAUGCCUUGCCUCGCUUAAGCGAGGCCGCAGCGAAAGACCUCUGGCGACUGUUUAUCAAAAACACAGAUCUCUGCUUAAUUCGUAAGAAGAUGUAUAGGGGUUGAGGCCUGACCAGUGCUGGAACGUUAACAGCGGCGGUCCCUGUAAUUUAUUACUUGGGCUGACUGCUCUAAGCGCCAGUGAACGUCGGCGGUAACUAUAACCGUCCAAAGGUAGCGUAAUCUCUUGCCAGGUAAGUUCUGGCCCGCAUGAAAGGCUUCACGACUGGAGGACUGUCUCCAAGAACUGCUCGGUGAAAAUGCAGUACCGGUAAAGAUGCCGGUUACUUGCGGCUAGACGGAAAGACCCCGGGAGCUUUACUAUAGUUAGGUAUUGGCUU